This 1252-nucleotide unclassified non-coding RNA is filed under the name Leucanthemella serotina (autumn oxeye). Its description in RNAcentral is "partial miscellaneous RNA". Lineage: Eukaryota; Viridiplantae; Streptophyta; Magnoliopsida; Asterales; Asteraceae. The record is from RNAcentral.
UAGUAUUUGGAGGCAGGAUGUGCGGGCACCGGUCGGCCUAUGGAACCACCGUUGUGUGCUCCGUGCAUUACGUCGAAGGCAAAUACGCCCCCUAAUCGGUGUUGACCUGCGGGCACCGGUCGGGCUUGAUAAUCUCAAGCCUGUCGACGACGGUUCACCUAACUCGAAAGCGUUAGGUGAAAGCGUCGGCAGUAAGUUGGUUGCGUCUGCUGGCUCCAACUCGGGUAGUAGAUUAUCUUUUGAUAAUCUCAAGCCCGCGAUGACGGCUUGCUGAGUUAUCGUGAAUCGUCGUCAACCGGGCUUGAUAAUCUCAAGUUCGUGAUGGGUACCGUUGCUUGUGGGUUCCGUUGCUUCCUGAUCUUGCUUAUAUAGUUGCGUGGCCGGACUUGUUUCUCAUGCCUCGUUAGUGAUUUGAAUCCAUCGCUUAGCGAACGUGGCGACUUGUUGCUUGCGUCUGCUGGUUUGACUAGUUUGUUGCGGUUGUUAAGGUGAAGGGACUCGUUUCUUUAGGUGACUUGAUCCGACGAUGAUGUUGCCGUGUUUACGAUUGGUCGAGCUUUGCUCUAGAUCUAUGGCAUAGCUACGGAUUCGUUUGGUCUUUGUUGCGCGAGCAACAUGAGCGAUCGGUUCCUAAUACGUGGAUAUAUAAGCAAGAGAUGAGGCAAUGGUUCUUACCUGUGGCGGUUUAUAUGGGUGGUUCUUGAUGUCGGUUUAUAUUCCUGGUUCUCCCAUCGUUCGGGGCAUUCUGGGGCUGUUUUGGCUAUUGGUUGCUUGCUUGGUCUUGAGCCGAUCAGGUGGCUUCUAGUUUGGUGGCUUCGGGGAUGUUGACCGUAAAGGUGGAUGAGUGGUGUUUGGUUUGUUACGUGUGGUUGGCUGCGGCGUAUGCAACAACUUCCAUGCUUUCAGACCUCUUCAGUUGUGCGGCAAGGCUUGUAUUGCCUUGAGCGUAUUGUGGGUUUUCUGUGUUGUAUACCUAAUCAACGGUAUCGGUUGGAUUGAUCAAAGUUUCAUUUCGUCUUCCGUCGCAUUCGCGGCGUGAGGUGAACCUUGAUGCGGUCUCUUUGAUCCACCUCGUCGGAGCGCAUGCUUUGACGUUGUGGCACAUUGAGCAUUGCUUGGUCUCUUGUAUGCGGAACAUAUAGUGGGCAUGGAUCUAACGAUUCUCCUUCGCCCUCAUAUUAGCGUAUCGCUUCUCUAACACGACUUGCACUACGUUUUAGCUUCGUACGGACGUGGUGCUAGUCAAAGAGAG